RNAcentral lists this ribosomal RNA (425 nucleotides) under bacterium. RNAcentral describes it as "partial 16S ribosomal RNA". It matches the Rfam family "Bacterial small subunit ribosomal RNA", at positions 355 to 776 of the family's 1533-position model. The record is from RNAcentral.
UGGGGAAUAUUGCACAAUGGGCGCAAGCCUGAUGCAGCGACGCCGCGUGAGGGAUGGAGGCCUUCGGGUUGUAAACCUCUUUCGCCAGUGAAGCAGGCCAUCUUCUUUGUGGGGUGGUUGACGGUAGCUGGAUAAGAAGCGCCGGCUAACUACGUGCCAGCAGCCGCGGUAAUACGUAGGGCGCGAGCGUUGUCCGGAAUUAUUGGGCGUAAAGAGCUCGUAGGCGGCUGGUCGCGUCUGUCGUGAAAUCCCCUGGCUUAACUGGGGGCUUGCGGUGGGUACGGGCCGGCUUGAGUGCGGUAGGGGAGACUGGAAUUCCUGGUGUAGCGGUGGAAUGCGCAGAUAUCAGGAGGAACACCGGAGGCGAAGGCGGGUCUCUGGGCCGUUACUGACGCUGAGGAGCGAAAGCGUGGGGAGCGAACAGG